GGUGACCAAUCCAAUGAUGAAGAACCAGUGGCUGAGGAAGGAGACGAAAUUGUAAAAGAAAACAUGAAUGCAAAUGAGAAUGAUGAUGGAGAUGAUGUUGUACUAGAUGCAGGAAAUGGUGCUAAUGAUUAGAGGUUUAAGACUAUUUUUGAGGAAAGUGCGAGGACAGCUGCUGAUUUUAAGGCAUCUCAAAUGAAAGAUAACGAAGAAAAUGGAGAAGAAAUCAUAGAAGCAACAUAAAGUGAUGAUGAAGAUCUAUUAGGGGAUGUAUAAUGUCACGCCACCAAUCCUGAAUUGGUUCAAGGAAACGUACCAGCCAGUCUUAGGACAUUAAGGCAAGCGUUCCAUGGCCAAGAUAGAAGGUUAAGGACGUCAGGAUGUUGAGACUUAACCUUACGAGAGAAAGAAGUCAGCUAGGACGAGUAAGAUGGUAGCUGGACGAAGUGAACGAGUUGCUCAACCAGCUCAACGAAGCUAGGUUAAGUGAUACGCCUUAAAAGGAUCACUCGACCGGAUUGGAAAGGAUAUGAACUCCGAGGGAGAACUGAUGGAAUGAUGGAUCAC
Molecule: long non-coding RNA, 564 nt
Filed under: Brassica napus (rape)
Lineage: Eukaryota; Viridiplantae; Streptophyta; Magnoliopsida; Brassicales; Brassicaceae
Description: long non-coding RNA (BNAP_LNC024029)
Source: RNAcentral